GCACUGGUGGUUCAGUGAUAGAAUUCUCACUUUCCAUGUGGGAGACCCAGGUUUGAUUCCUGGCCAGUACG
Molecule: transfer RNA, 71 nt
Filed under: Loxodonta africana (African savanna elephant)
Lineage: Eukaryota; Metazoa; Chordata; Mammalia; Proboscidea; Elephantidae
Rfam family: tRNA
About the family: Transfer RNA (tRNA) molecules are approximately 80 nucleotides in length. Their secondary structure includes four short double-helical elements and three loops (D, anti-codon, and T loops). Further hydrogen bonds mediate the characteristic L-shaped molecular structure. tRNAs have two regions of fundamental functional importance: the anti-codon, which is responsible for specific mRNA codon recognition, and the 3' end, to which the tRNAs corresponding amino acid is attached (by aminoacyl-tRNA synthetases). tRNAs cope with the degeneracy of the genetic code in two manners: having more than one tRNA (with a specific anti-codon) for a particular amino acid; and 'wobble' base-pairing, i.e. permitting non-standard base-pairing at the 3rd anti-codon position.
Source: Rfam by way of RNAcentral